This 103-nucleotide Y RNA is filed under the name Carlito syrichta (Philippine tarsier). RNAcentral's name for it is "Y RNA (ENSTSYG00000020674.2)". It matches the Rfam family "Y RNA". From Rfam's summary of the family: Y RNAs are components of the Ro ribonucleoprotein particle (Ro RNP), in association with Ro60 and La proteins. The Y RNAs and Ro60 and La proteins are well conserved, but the function of the Ro RNP is not known. In humans the RNA component can be one of four small RNAs -- hY1, hY3, hY4 and hY5. The record is from Rfam by way of RNAcentral. Lineage: Eukaryota; Metazoa; Chordata; Mammalia; Primates; Tarsiidae.
GGCUGAUCCUACUGCAACGGGGUUGCACUACUAAUUGAUUACAGCUAGUUACAGAUUUCUUUGUUCUUUCUCCACUCCCAUUGCUUUACUUGAGUAGCUUUUU